GGGGCCGUAGCUUAGUUGGGAGAGCGCCUCCCUUGCACGGAGGAGGUCGUGGGUUCGAAUCCCACCGGCUCCA
Molecule: transfer RNA, 73 nt
Filed under: Thermoflexales bacterium
Lineage: Bacteria; Bacillati; Chloroflexota; Thermoflexia; Thermoflexales
Description: tRNA-Ala
Rfam family: tRNA
About the family: Transfer RNA (tRNA) molecules are approximately 80 nucleotides in length. Their secondary structure includes four short double-helical elements and three loops (D, anti-codon, and T loops).
Source: RNAcentral